This 453-nucleotide ribosomal RNA is filed under the name uncultured bacterium. RNAcentral's name for it is "bacterial SSU rRNA". It matches the Rfam family "Bacterial small subunit ribosomal RNA", at positions 28 to 480 of the family's 1533-position model. The record is from RNAcentral.
GAUGAACGCUAGCGGCAGGCUUAACACAUGCAAGUCGAGGGGUAGAAGGAGCUUGCUCCUUUGAGACCGGCGCACGGGUGCGUAACGCGUAUGCAAUCUACCUUUUGCAGAGGGAUAGCCCAGAGAAAUUUGGAUUAAUACCUCAUAGUAUGUGAGGAUGGCAUCAUUUUCACAUUAAAGUCACAACGGCAAAAGAUGAGCAUGCGUCCCAUUAGCUAGUUGGUAAGGUAACGGCUUACCAAGGCUACGAUGGGUAGGGGUCCUGAGAGGGAGAUCCCCCACACUGGUACUGAGACACGGACCAGACUCCUACGGGAGACAGCAGUGAGGAAUAUUGGACAAUGGGCGCAAGCCUGAUCCAGCCAUGCCGCGUGCAGGAUGACGGUCCUAUGGAUUGUAAACUGCUUUUAUACAGGAAGAAACACUCCGACGUGUCGGAGCUUGACGGUACUG